UUAGAUUUUAUUUAUUAAUUUUAAUUUAUUUAAAUAAAAAAUAUUAAAAAUAAUUAUAAAUUUUAAAGUUUUAGUAUUGUUUAAAGAAAAAAUAAAUUUAAUAAUAGUUUAAUAGUAUUGUAAAAGAAAAUUGAAAUAAUUUGAAAAAUUUUUAUUAAAAAAGAAAAUUUAAUUUAUUGUACCUUGUGUAUCAGCGUUUAUUAAAUAAAAAAUAUUUAUAAGUAUUUUUCUCGAUUUUAAAAGAGUUAAUAUAAUAUAAAAGUUAAUGUGAUAAAAUUAUUUUGAAUAUUAUAUUAGAAAUGAAAUGUUAUUCGUUUUUAAAGGUAUCUAGUUUUUCAAGAAAUAAAUUUAAUUUAGAAAUUAUAAAUUUAUUUAAAAAAUUUUUUAAUUAAAUAAUUUAUAAUUUUAAUAUUUUAUGGGAUAAGCUAUAAAAUAAAUUUUUAAAAAUAAUAAAUAAAUUUAAUAAAUAUAUGCUUAGAAUUAGCAAUUAUUAAUAAAUAUGUUAUAAUUUAUUUUAUAAAAUAAAUUAUUUAUUAAAUUUUAAUUAUUUAUUGAAAUAUUAAUUUUAAUUUUUAAAAUUAAUUAAUAAUGAUAAAAUUAGUAUAUUUUAUUGUAAAAUAAAUUUAAAUGAUAAGUUAAAG
Molecule: ribosomal RNA, 641 nt
Filed under: Drosophila quinaria
Lineage: Eukaryota; Metazoa; Arthropoda; Insecta; Diptera; Drosophilidae
Description: partial 16S ribosomal RNA
Source: RNAcentral